GGCUGGUCUGAGUGCAGUGGCAUUUACAACCAAUUGAUCACAGCCAGUUACGGAUUUCUUUGUUCCUUUUCCAGUCCCACUGCUUCACUUGACUAGCCUUUA
Molecule: non-coding RNA, 102 nt
Organism: Callithrix jacchus (white-tufted-ear marmoset)
Lineage: Eukaryota; Metazoa; Chordata; Mammalia; Primates; Cebidae
Source: Rfam